AGUCAAAAUUUCUUUAUUUGUUUAGACUAAUAAAUAGUUCUUACAAAUCGUCAUUUUGCUCUUAAGGAGCCUCUACAUCAGGGUUUCCCAAUUUUUUUUUUGCCAAGGAACCCUAAUUGAUUAUACUUUUCCUAGCGGAACCCCCGUACUACUCCGCCCGCACGCCCUGCCCCUCCCUUGUGCGUAAACAAGUCGGUGCGAGCGAACAACGUCGGUCACGAAACGUGGGAUAAUAUUUUUUAUGGAACCCUUGCGGCCUUUCCACGGAACCCCAGGGUUCCGCGGACCACCUUUCGGGAACCGCUGGUCUAGAACAGAAAACA
Long non-coding RNA from Ostrinia nubilalis (European corn borer), 323 nucleotides. RefSeq lists it as uncharacterized. NCBI's taxonomy places the organism in Eukaryota, Metazoa, Arthropoda, Insecta, Lepidoptera, Crambidae. The transcript has 3 exons. The record is from RefSeq and is a predicted model, not a curated record.